This 378-nucleotide unclassified non-coding RNA is filed under the name uncultured bacterium. RNAcentral describes it as "contains 16S-23S intergenic spacer region". The record is from RNAcentral.
UCCGAGUUGACCCCGGCAGUCUCCCAAGAGUCCCCGCCAUUACGCGCUGGCAACUAGGGACAAGGGUUGCGCUCGUUGCGGGACUUAACCCAACAUCUCACGACACGAGCUGACGACAGCCAUGCAGCACCUGUGUUCCGGCUCCCGAAGGCACCCCCGCAUCUCUGCAGGGUUCCGGACAUGUCAAGGGCAGGUAAGGUUCUUCGCGUUGCAUCGAAUUAAACCACAUGCUCCACCGCUUGUGCGGGUCCCCGUCAAUUCCUUUGAGUUUUAGCCUUGCGGCCGUACUCCCCAGGCGGGGCGCUUAAUGCGUUAGCUACGGCACGGACAACAAAACGUCACCCACACCUAGCGCCCAACGUUUACAGCGUGGACUAC